GCGCUCAUAGCUCAGUCGGAUAGAGUAUUGGUUUCCGGAACCAAAGGUCAGAGGUUCGAUCCCUCUUGAGCGCACCA
RNAcentral lists this transfer RNA (77 nucleotides) under Oligoflexia bacterium. RNAcentral's name for it is "tRNA-Arg". It matches the Rfam family "tRNA". Rfam says of the family: Transfer RNA (tRNA) molecules are approximately 80 nucleotides in length. The record is from RNAcentral. Lineage: Bacteria; Pseudomonadati; Bdellovibrionota; Oligoflexia.